RNAcentral lists this ribosomal RNA (252 nucleotides) under Acinetobacter pseudolwoffii. RNAcentral's name for it is "partial 16S ribosomal RNA". It matches the Rfam family "Bacterial small subunit ribosomal RNA", at positions 1 to 254 of the family's 1533-position model. Lineage: Bacteria; Pseudomonadati; Pseudomonadota; Gammaproteobacteria; Moraxellales; Moraxellaceae. The record is from RNAcentral.
UAAACUGAAGAGUUUGAUCAUGGCUCAGAUUGAACGCUGGCGGCAGGCUUAACACAUGCAAGUCGAGCGGGGAAAAGUAGCUUGCUACUUUACCUAGCGGCGGACGGGUGAGUAAUGCUUAGGAAUCUGCCUAUUAGUGGGGGACAACAUCUCGAAAGGGAUGCUAAUACCGCAUACGUCCUACGGGAGAAAGCAGGGGAUCUUCGGACCUUGCGCUAAUAGAUGAGCCUAAGUCGGAUUAGCUAGUUGGUG